UUGGAUCACAGAUGUUAUGGCCGUCAUCUUGGAAACCCUAAUUCCCUCCAAACCCUAAUUUACUCUAUAAAACCAUACACGCUCGUCUCUUCCAUAGAAGUGGUUGCUCCUCUUGCCUCUCCGCUUGUGGUGAUGUUGAAGACUUCGCUCAUUUAGUUUUCACGAGCACUAUUCUGUUCUUUCGGAUCUGUUCUUUUGAAAAUUCUCUUUCGGUUUUGUCAAACUUUACGAUCGUCGAAUCUUCUUUAUUUUCUUCUUUGUGUUGUGGAAGGAUUACAUUUUUUUAGUGUAAUUUGUGGGCUUGUUUGAUUUGUGUUCUAGAUUAGCUUGUAAUUCACUUACGGAUCUGUGGGGAUAAAUCGCAAAGCUCUCUCAACAUUUGCAGUGCCGCCUGAGAACUUUCGCCUUCGCCGGGCUUGAGGGUUUCUGCUGUUUCUCGAGGGACUUCACAGUAUCGAAGCAUGGUGUUUCUUAAUCAUAUUCAUCUAUUUAAUUUGCAGAACAUUUUCCCGCAGGUAUUAUAUUCUUUCUAGAAGUCUGCGUGCAUAACUUAGAUUUUUUCUAUUGCUCUUUUUAUGUUCUUUAUCUCCAGAGCAGAAUAAAGUCCAGCAUUGGGACUUGGAUCUCCAUUGUUUGCGAGAAGAUCAAAUUUCAUUCAUUGAACCAAGAAGCUUGUUGGAGGAAAUCAAAUGUAAUUUGCAGACUGUUCAAUUGUUUAUGUUUUAGAUUUAUUUUAUUUUUUGUGGAAGUUUAAUUUGUCAUUGGAAUAUUGUAUUAUAUCUUGUUCAUUUUAUGAUUCUUAUAAUUAAGGUCUAUAUAAAUAAUCUUGUUCUGUAA
Non-coding RNA from Momordica charantia (bitter melon), 837 nucleotides. Lineage: Eukaryota; Viridiplantae; Streptophyta; Magnoliopsida; Cucurbitales; Cucurbitaceae. The record is from RefSeq and is a predicted model, not a curated record.